RNAcentral lists this transfer RNA (69 nucleotides) under Craugastor bocourti (Bocourt's robber frog). Its description in RNAcentral is "tRNA-Trp". It matches the Rfam family "tRNA". Rfam says of the family: Transfer RNA (tRNA) molecules are approximately 80 nucleotides in length. Their secondary structure includes four short double-helical elements and three loops (D, anti-codon, and T loops). The record is from RNAcentral. Lineage: Eukaryota; Metazoa; Chordata; Amphibia; Anura; Craugastoridae.
AGAAACUUAGGAUAAUCAAACCACAAGCCUUCAAAGCUUGCAAUAGAAGUCAGACCCUUCUAGUUUCUG